AACGAACGCUGGCGGCAUGCCUGACACAUGCAAGUCGAACGAGACCUUCGGGUCUAGUGGCGCAAGGGUGCGUAACGCGUGGGAACCUGCCCUUAGGUUCGGAAUAACUCCCCGAAAGGGGUGCUAAUACCGGAUAAUGUCUUCGGACCAAAGAUUUAUCGCCUUUGGAUGGGCCCGCGUUGGAUUAGCUAGUUGGUAAGGUAAAAGCCUACCAAGGCGACGAUCCAUAGCUGGUCUGAGAGGAUGAUCAGCCACACUGGGACUGAGACACGACCCAGACUCCUACGGGAGGCAGCAGUGGGGAAUAUUGGACAAUGGGCGAAAGCCUGAUCCAGCAAUGCCGCGUGAGUGAUGAAGGCCUUAGGGUUGUAAAGCUCUUUUACCCGGGAUGAUAAUGACAGUACCGGGAGAAUAAGCGCCGGCUAACUCCGUG
RNAcentral lists this ribosomal RNA (433 nucleotides) under uncultured bacterium. RNAcentral describes it as "partial 16S ribosomal RNA". It matches the Rfam family "Bacterial small subunit ribosomal RNA", at positions 29 to 507 of the family's 1533-position model. The record is from RNAcentral.